Molecule: ribosomal RNA, 479 nt
Filed under: Selenomonas sputigena
Lineage: Bacteria; Bacillati; Bacillota; Negativicutes; Selenomonadales; Selenomonadaceae
Description: bacterial SSU rRNA
Rfam family: Bacterial small subunit ribosomal RNA
Source: RNAcentral
GACGAACGCGGCGGCGUGCUUAACACAUGCAAGUCGAACGGGAACCUUUAUUUCGGUAAAGGUGAGAGUGGCAAACGGGUGAGUAACACGUAGGCAACCUGCCGACAGGAUGGGGACAACAUUCCGAAAGGAAUGCUAAUACCGAAUGGAGUCCGAGGAUGGCAUCAUCCUUGGAUAAAAGAUGGCCUCUUAACAAUGCUAUCGCCUGUCGAUGGGCCUGCGUCUGAUUAGCCAGUUGGCGGGGUAACGGCCCACCAAAGCGACGAUCAGUAGCCGGUCUGAGAGGAUGAACGGCCACAUUGGGACUGAGACACGGCCCAGACUCCUACGGGAGGCAGCAGUGGGGAAUCUUCCACAAUGGGCGGAAGCCUGAUGGAGCAACGCCGCGUGAGUGAAGAAGGUCUUCGGAUCGUAAAGCUCUGUUGCACGGGACGAAAACCGAGCUUGAAAAUAUUGAGUUUGGGUGACGGUACCGAGCG